GGGCCGCUAGCUCAGUUGGUAGAGCAUCGCCCUUUUAAGGCGAGGGUCCUCGGUUCGAGCCCGAGGCGGCUCACCA
This 76-nucleotide transfer RNA is filed under the name Nitrospira sp. RNAcentral's name for it is "tRNA-Lys". It matches the Rfam family "tRNA". Rfam says of the family: Transfer RNA (tRNA) molecules are approximately 80 nucleotides in length. Their secondary structure includes four short double-helical elements and three loops (D, anti-codon, and T loops). The record is from RNAcentral. Lineage: Bacteria; Pseudomonadati; Nitrospirota; Nitrospiria; Nitrospirales; Nitrospiraceae.